GGGCCGAGCUGGAUUUGAACCAGCGUAGACAUAUCGUCAACGAAUUUACAGUCCGUCCCCAUUAACCGCUCGGGCAUCGACCCA
Molecule: transfer RNA, 84 nt
Filed under: Elaeis guineensis (African oil palm)
Lineage: Eukaryota; Viridiplantae; Streptophyta; Magnoliopsida; Arecales; Arecaceae
Also listed under: 10 other names
Description: tRNA-Tyr
Source: RNAcentral